This 468-nucleotide ribosomal RNA is filed under the name uncultured bacterium. RNAcentral describes it as "partial 16S ribosomal RNA". It matches the Rfam family "Bacterial small subunit ribosomal RNA", at positions 28 to 507 of the family's 1533-position model. The record is from RNAcentral.
GACGAACGCUGGCGGCGUGCUUAACACAUGCAAGUCGAACGGAAAGGCCCUGCUUUUGUGGGGUGCUCGAGUGGCGAACGGGUGAGUAACACGUGAGUAACCUGCCCUUGACUUUGGGAUAACUUCAGGAAACUGGGGCUAAUACCGGAUAGGAGCUCCUGCUGCAUGGUGGGGGUUGGAAAGUUUCGGCGGUUGGGGAUGGACUCGCGGCUUAUCAGCUUGUUGGUGGGGUAGUGGCUUACCAAGGCUUUGACGGGUAGCCGGCCUGAGAGGGUGACCGGGCACAUUGGGACUGAGAUACGGACCAGAGUGCAACGGGAGGCAGCAGUGGGGAAUAUUGCACAAUGGGCGGAAGCCUGAUGCAGCAACGCCGCGUGCGGGAUGACGGCCUUCGGGUUGUAAACCGCUUUCGCCUGUGACGAAGAGUGAGUGACGGUAAUGGGUAAAGAAGCACCGGCUAACUACGUG